Long non-coding RNA from Benincasa hispida (wax gourd), 2710 nucleotides. RefSeq lists it as uncharacterized. The record is from RefSeq and is a predicted model, not a curated record. Lineage: Eukaryota; Viridiplantae; Streptophyta; Magnoliopsida; Cucurbitales; Cucurbitaceae.
UUUAAACAAUUAAAUUUGAUAUGGUUUUAGAAGUUUUUAUUUUAUCAUUAUAACUUAGUUUAACUUCACAAAUUGUUUUUAUCUAUAGGGACGUGACUUUUUUCUUUAUAAAAAAAAAUUAUGUUGUAAUGAAAUGGCUAGUAUCUUGGCUACUUGAGCUAGCUAACUAUGUUGAACUUGAAGUUUAAGUUGAAACAAAGUACAGAAGAAGAGUAAGACGGAUAAAGAUUCUUUUAGGAAUAAUUUCUGGAGUGCGCUAAAUUAGAACCAAACUAGAGGAAUCCAAUUAAGAAAGUUCUACUCAAUUAUAGGAUUAACUUAAAAACUUUUAGAAUCAUGAUUGAUGCUAACAAAACUCGAACUUACUAAAUUAAAAUGUUUUAAAUUUGCAGUAUAUUUUGUUUAGUAUCCAAUUUAAGGACCGCAGAUUUAAACUUCUAAUCUCUUAGACGAGAGUACGAAAGUGUAGGUCGUUGAGCUUUGCCCUAUAUAUAUAUGUGUGUGUUUAUAUGAAACUAAGUCCAAAGUAUAUAAGACUAAGGGGCUGUUUGGGUCCAAGAGUGGACUGGUAACCCAUUCCAUGUUUGAGGCUCCAACUAUUUUUAGUUGAAGCUUCAAAAUUAUAUUGAAAGUCAACUCUAGUGAACACUGUUUCCAACCCCAUGAACUGUACCUCCACUAUUUGCAACAUCUCCCUUCUCCUUCGUCUCUUCCAUCUCCUUUCUUCUCUGAAAGAAAUACUCAGAUUCAAGAUGUUUUUCCUUCUCUAUUUACUUCUCUGUUCAUUCCACCCCUACUAUAACUUUUUUGUUUUAUCUUCUUCGUUGAUUUCACUCCUCAUAUGUGGUUUUCGUCUCUUUCAAGCUUGUCAGUGCCGUCUUCAGAUCUAGUUUCACAUCUCUUCAUCUCUAUCGGUUCUAUCAUCGUCGAAACCAGAUCUGGAUCCGUAGUCCUUAAAUUUAUUUCGUCUAACCCUUCAUAGAUCUGUAGAUCUACGUUUAUGGUGGUACCCAUCUUACAUGUUUUUCUCUAAACCCUUCACAAAUCUGGAUUCACGUCUCAUUCAUCUUUGUUGAUUGGGGUUUUAUCCGACUUCCUCCCUCUCGUUUCCAUUCUAAAUGUGUUCGUUCAUUCUUCCCCUUGCUGUUCCAAACCUUUGAUUCCCUUUGCUGCAUUAUUCAAUUUUCUCACUCUGUCAUUUCAGUCUAAAUUGUUUGGUUGAAGGACGAUUGUGGUUAGUGGGGCAUGGAGGUUACUGUUUGGAGAGUAUUAGGGGGUGAAGGACAAGUUGUGGAGCUGGGGGGGGGGCUAUAGGUAUUUGAUGGAUUUCUCACUUCAGGGUUUCUCUGUUUGAUUAGAUAAUUUUCAUUCUACUGAUGAAAAAAGAUGGAUUUUCUCUGUGCAAUGUCCAUUGUUUUGUCUAUUUUGGUCCCUAUUUGUCUAUAGUUUGUCAUUUUUGGUCUCUGUUUGUCCAUUGUUUGGCCAUUUCCAUAAAUUUUGGUGUCUGUUUGUCCAUUGUUUGUUCAUUUCAGUCUCUGUCUAUCUAUUGCUUGUCCAUUUAAUAACUUUUGGCCUUAGUUUGUCCCUGUUUAUUGUACAUUGAUUGACAGUGGUUGUUAGGUACUGUUUAUUGUAUUCAUCAUUGUCAUAUCUUUUGUUUUUAGAGUGAUUUAUUGUAUAUUGAUUGACAGUGGUUGUUAGGUAUUGUUCAUUGUAUCCGUCAUUGCAUAUCCCCUAUUUUUAGGAUGGUCUAUGGUAUAUUGAUUGACAGUGAUUGUUAGUUACUGUUUAUUGGGUAGAUUUUUGUCAAAAUCAUUGACUUUUAUUUAUAUGUGGGUCCCACUUAAAAAAUCGGUGAGCCAAUAGUUCACACAACUAUUAUAUAUGGUUUAACUUCACUCUAACUUUAGACCAAACUCAUUCAAUCUACUUGCUUAAUGCAAUUGUUAUGUCAUCUCUUUUGUCUCCACUGUUCUUAUCAUGUGCUUCAUUUCAUAUUACCAUGAACUUCUAUACAUCUUUUGGUUUCUAUUGUCUUUGUUGUUUGUUUUUGAUUUUCAAUUCUUUUAACUUGAAUGGAAUGAUUUACCAUUGUUUGUCUCUGGUUUAAAAUCAAUUGUUGGUCAUUCCAUCUACAUUGUUGAUUUCUUUUUUACCAUUAUUCAUAAUAUUAUCUAAAAUUCAAGUUUCAAUGAAUGAAUUUCAUAAUUCUAAGGUUGGACUCUAUUCCGUUCAUUUUUUCUUUGACUUUAUAAUUAUGGUCUCACUUGCCUUCAACUAUAAGGACAAACACAUUCCAUCUACAUCAUAAAUGUAAUUGGUAUGUCUUUUCCCUCUUUCUCCAACAUUUUGUUAUCACAGGUGUUGACUAGUGUCUUCCUAUUGUAACUUGUUUAGUAUAAUACUGAUAUUCUUUAUUGUAACUUGUUUUAGGGUUGGUCUUGUUAUGAGUCUGCCGCAUCAAACACUGUUUACCAACUAUAUCUUGCUAAGGGUGGACUAUUAGCAUACUCGAGCAUUGCUUAAGGUUCGUUAACAUGAAUUUGUAGCUGUUGGACGUAUUCUCAUAUAUUCCUGUUUAUAGUUGUUUGUAUGAUUAAAAUAGUCAUAUAUGUUUGUUUCAUAUUUGUAGUUGUUUGGAUGAAUUUUAUCUCACAUAAAAAAUUUGUUAUGUUUGGAUGAAUAACAUGAAUUUGUAGUUGGAUGAAUA